GCCCUCUCGUUGCGCACCGCGCGGUUGGCUGCGCCAAAGCUGAAAGCCCACAGCUCACUCGAACCCUAGCCGCCACAUCCCGUCUUCCUCCCUAGCUCAGCAUCACAGGCGCCGGCGCGCCGCACCCCCUAUUCCUCCUUUCUCCUCGUCUGAAUAGCCGCCGGCCGCCGCACCGCUUCUUCCCCUUCCUCCUACCUCCCUUAUCCCUGCCCCCAAUCCACAUCCGCCUCCUCCCUUCCUUCCUUCCAGAUCGGGGAGUAAGAUGGCGGGCGGCAGAGCGUGGGGUCGAUGGCAGCGGCUGGACGAGGUCGUCCACAGGCGAGGAAUGGCCGCCAAGCUUGUUCCUCCGACCGCCGCACUGGAGCCCCGGUGGCUGAGCCUGCAGUGGCACCGGUAGUCCGUCCGUCCUCGUCCUCCUCCUCCUCUCUCUCUCUCUCCCGUGCAGCCGGCCUCCUCCCUCGUCGAUUGACUCGACCUCAGUCCACCUCUGUGUGCUCUCCUCCUAUUAUGCGGGCACUCGGCGGCAGGGAGCAUGGCGGCGACCGGGGCUGCUGGACAGUAGGGGCUCGCCGAGGUGGUCCAUGCCUGGGAAGACGGCGACAUCUUCCGGCGACAAGAUCAAUUAGAAGGCAGAAUUCUUGCUAGGUGGCUCAGGCCAAGCAUCGUUUCACAUUCAGGAAGUGAAGACGGCCAUUCGUCGUGCCAUGAGCUCCAUUCAUAUUACUAUAUGCUUAAAACAUCGUGCUCUCCUUAUCUACAUCAUGUGGUAGUAGUAUUUACUUGCCAUUCAUGCAUCUUGUUCCAUCAUGUCAGUCAUAUCUUACAUAUCACGCUUGACUGGUUUGUUCAAUUCCUCUACUAUGCUUUUCUGUCGUGUUUUUCAAACAUUCUCGGUUACUAUAGAUUAUCAUGAUAUCUUGCUGCAAUGCAUUCAAACCUGCAAAUAGCUUUGUAAACAGAGUUAUGUGCCCAGGCUUUGGCGGAGGUGUGCUCUUGUCUUGUCUUUCAUAAUAUUCGCCUUUAUUGCGUGCACAAUCAGUUGGUGGUACCCAGCGGAGGUUGAAUUGUUAGUACUUAUGCCUCUGAUUUUGUGGGGUAGUUAGUGUAUGCCUGCAUGCCUCAUUGGAAAUAUUACUGCAUGAUACCAUACAGAUAUUUCAGUUUAUAAACUGAUAAGGUAAUUAUGAGUUUAUUAGAGAGUACAGAUUUGCUCAGCUACUAGCCUACAAUGACUUAUAUAUUUGUAAAUAGUGAAGUACUCUAUGCACCUUAAAAAUAAUCUUUAAGUGAAAGAUGCAGUUACUUUACAUUAGUACCUUCGCCAUUUAGGCAGGGUGGAGGCGACGCACAAGGACGCCUCUAGCACGUUCACCGCCAGCCGUUGCCGUUGCUUUCUUCUUUUUUGGCUUAUAUUUCUUAAUACCUAAAGUGAAUGCCUGGUACUCAUUCUCCUAAUGUUUCAAGGUAUUUCUCAUUAUUAGAGCAUUUACAUUGCUUUACAGAGUAUACAUCAAGCACAGUUGAAGUACAUAUCAAAUAGUUGUAUUCCAGAGUUGUUUGAUUCGCAUGAUAAAGAUUCUAAAAAUAGUUCCCAUGCCAUAAUAAGUUAUAAUGUUUUGUUUCUCUUAUAUUUAUAUGUUUACACCACUGCUUUUGUUCCAAUUUUAUUGGAGGCUCAUAUUAGGUCGCUUUGGAGGUUGAAAUCAGGUGGCUGCUCAUGUCUGGCUUGGUGGCUUGGUGCCUAUAUUUUAGAUGUUCCAUUAAUCUUGGCUGCUUUUCUCACCAGUUUUGGGCUUUAACCUUGGGUAAAUGGACUAAUCUUUUCCUUGUCUGUAAACUGUCUGCUGACAUGCUUAUGCUCUAACAAGUUCCUCUGCUUUCAUUUCUCACGUUGUCAGAUCUAGAAGGUUGCAGCUUCUUUGUUCUCCUACUCAAGAUUUGCUCACUUUCUAGCUGGUUGCUGCAUCAUUUACUUUUUCCUCUGUUCAAGGAUGUAUCGUACACAUUGUCACCUUUUUCCUCUAUUCAGAUAUCGGUGUUGCCUAAUUAAAAAAUGAACAACAAUACCAGUUGUACCAGUUGAAGUUUUUUCUUUCUGAAUUGAGUAGUUAAGAGUUCAGUCUUCCUAUAGAAUCUUCAGGAGUUUAGUUAGGCAUUCUGAAAAAGAGAAGUCUUGUUGAUCAGACGGCUAAACGCUCAUAUCGCUCCUAAACUUGAUACACUGUUUUCCUUUUGAUAUGUCUUGCCAAGCAGAGCGACCAAUGCAAGGAGGACCAAGAUCUAGGACGGUGAGCCUCGCCUAGCUCUUCCACCUCUUCCACCUAUUAUGGAGGAGGGACGAAGGGGGAGAAGAUUACAGCAUGAUUCAGGAUCAGUUGAGGGUUGAAUGCUUCAAUGGUUCCAGAAAGCUUCAUCCACAAUCCUGACAAAUAUUUCCUUUGAUGUCACAAAGCAUACCAAGAAUUUGAAGUGAGUACGUUUUAUCCCAGCUAACUUGUCAGGCUGUCACCUUUUAGCGAUGUCAUGAAAAAUGAACAUAUGGCAGUCAUUUAUUAUUAAUCUUGUGGUGACAUAUGCAUGACUAUUAGUAGAAUACUUUGUAGUAAGUUGUGUGUAAAUGUUGUGUAGAGAAGGCGAUAGGGAGACUGACGGGGCAUAGAGUGCUUCCGUGUGUUGGGGUAUUUAGCUGAUUGCUCAUUUGGGAGCACUCAAUAGCAUGUUGCAUCUUUAAUUUUAUGAAAUAAAUGCCUUCCUUUGUUUGCUCAUUUUCUUCUGAUAUAAAGGUUUAGAUAUUAGGUAUUUGGUACUCAAGACCAUUUAACUUUCUUUUUUCAUAUAUGAGUAUAGCUGGAUUAUUCAUGUUUCUUACAAUCAAGAAUUUUCCCAUUCAGGUAGAUUGUGAAUUAUUCCUGACAUUUCAGCAAAAUAUCCAUUAUUUCUAUCUGGAAGAUUCUGGGUUGAACUCUCGGAGACUCUUUACGCCGAGACUCUUUACCCGAUAUCAACUCUCUCUCCAUGCAGCUCUUCUUUUGAUUCUGUCCAAUUCCUGGCGAUCGGCACGGACCAGAAUACCAUCGCGCAUGCCCUUGGUGUGUGUGCCAGAACUAAAAAGGAUCUACAUAAGAUUGCAGGGGUCUCUGUAGCUACGUGAAGCAGUUAAAUCGGAUUGUAAACAAGGCUCCCGAGUAGUUUCUACUCUAUAUCUCAUUCUGAAGAAAAAAACUUUCAAAAUCGCAAUGUAUUUCACUCCUUAUGUUUAGGUUAAGCGAAGAACUUCCUUUCAGUGAAUCUCGCUCCUUUUGUUAAA
RNA transcript from Triticum urartu, 3307 nucleotides. RefSeq lists it as uncharacterized. The record is from RefSeq and is a predicted model, not a curated record. Lineage: Eukaryota; Viridiplantae; Streptophyta; Magnoliopsida; Poales; Poaceae.